GCAGGGCACAGUGGCGCACGCCUGUAGUCCCAGCUACUCGGGAGGCUGAGGCAGGAGGACCACUUGAGUCCAGGAGUUCUGGGCUGUAGUGCGCUAUGCUGAUCCGGUGUCUGCACUAAGUUCGGCAUCAUUAUGGUUACCUCCUAGAAGCGGGGGACCACCAGGUGAACCGGCCCAGGUCAGAAACCGUGCAGGUCAAAAUUCCUAUGCUGAUCAGUAGUGGGAUCGCACCUGUGAAUAGCCAUAGCCGCUGCACUCCAGCCUGGGAAACGUAUUGAGACUCGGUUUUUA
This is a non-coding RNA of Mesocricetus auratus (golden hamster), 291 nucleotides long. NCBI's taxonomy places the organism in Eukaryota, Metazoa, Chordata, Mammalia, Rodentia, Cricetidae. The record is from Rfam.